AAUAUGGGACAAUGGUGGUAACGCUGAUCCAGCCAGGCCUCGUGUGUGAAGAAUGUCAUAGGAUAGUAACUUACUUUAAGUUGGGAGGAAGAGUUAUAGGCUAAUACGUUGCACAUUUGACGUUACCAACAGAAUAAGUACUGGCUAACUCCGUGCCAGCAGCCGCGGUAAUACGAACGUUACAAGCGUUAAUCGGAAUUACUGGGCCUAAAGCGCGCGUAGGUGGUUCGUUAAGUUGGAAGUGAAAGCCCCGGGCAUAACCUGGGAAUUGCUUUCAAAACUGACGAGCUAGAGUACGGUAGAGGGUAGUGGAAUUUCCUGUGUAGCGGUGAAAUGCGUAGAUAUAGGAAGGAACAUCAGUGGCGAAGGCGACUACCUGGACUGAUACUGACACUGAGGUGCGAAAGCGUGGGGAGCAAACAGG
RNAcentral lists this ribosomal RNA (424 nucleotides) under uncultured bacterium. RNAcentral describes it as "partial 16S ribosomal RNA". It matches the Rfam family "Bacterial small subunit ribosomal RNA", at positions 360 to 776 of the family's 1533-position model. The record is from RNAcentral.